This 854-nucleotide long non-coding RNA is filed under the name Numida meleagris (helmeted guineafowl). Its description in RNAcentral is "lncRNA (ENSNMEG00000018705.1)". Lineage: Eukaryota; Metazoa; Chordata; Aves; Galliformes; Numididae. The record is from RNAcentral.
UUCCCUAUCGUUUUAGGGAGAUAGUUUAUUUUGCUUGACAUACUAAUUAGGGAACAGGUGUGCCCCAUUACAAUCUAAGCUCAUGGCUGGGACAUGUUCCUGGUGAGAGAGGAAAAACAUAGGUUCAGAUUCCCUAAAAUACGGGAAUUAAUUUGAAACAGGCCUCUGCACUCUGCUGUGUUCUGAGAACUGGAUAGAAAGAGUUAUUACUGAUUAUCACUCUUGUAUUCUUCUAAUACCACAUUUUAAAGUUCUCAUGAAAUUAAAAAUGAGCCUUUUGUGCUGAAACAGUUUUUUUUUUUCUUUUUCUUUUGUACUAACAGAGAAAAUAGAAUCUGGUCUUUGCAAGUAGGAUUCCCAUGUGGGCUCCAGGAAGAUAUUUUAUUGUCUUUAGGGCAAGAACUAAUUCAGAUAACAGCUCUUUUAUUCAUCACCUAUGAAUCCUGACCUUGACCUAGAAAGUCUAUCCUCAGUGUUGUGUGAGGGGCAAUUAAACUUCUGACUCUGAGAAGGUGGGAAGUGAAUUCAACUAGAGCACAUACUGUUGAACAAAUUAUGGUCAGACAGCUCACUGAGAUCUUACACAAAGUAAAGACACUUCAAAAUUCAUGCUGAAGGAGCAUAACACAAAAUCUCUGAUGUUCUGUUUUCUGCCAGUAGUGUCUGACAACAAUAAAGGUUUGCGUGUCUCUAAAAACUGCAGAGGAGCACAACCAAUUAAAUUGGGCAUCCGGUCUUUUGCUGAAGGAACAGUCUGCAGCUUCCAAAUGAUUGCAAUUCUCUUUUGCCAUUAUAGGAAAAUCUUUUUAUCCUGUCACCAAGUUCCAAAGGUAUAAAACAGUUUACAGUUCACA